This 443-nucleotide ribosomal RNA is filed under the name uncultured bacterium. Its description in RNAcentral is "partial 16S ribosomal RNA". It matches the Rfam family "Bacterial small subunit ribosomal RNA", at positions 338 to 795 of the family's 1533-position model. The record is from RNAcentral.
CCUACGGGAGGCAGCAGUGGGGAAUAUUGCACAAUGGGCGCAACCCUGAUGCAGCAAUGCCGCGUGAAGGAUGAAGGUUUUCGGAUUGUAAACUUCUUUUGUACGGGACGAAUAAGGUGACAGUACCGUAAUAAUAAGCCACUACUAACUACCCGACAGCAGCCGCGGUAAUACGUAGGUGGCAAGCGUUAGCCGGAUAUACUGGUUGUAAAGGGCGAUUAGGCGGGAAUGAAAGUGAGAUGUGAAAAUUAUGUGCUAAACCGAUAGCGUGCAUUUGAAACUGCAGUUCUUGAGAGAUGGAGCGGCAGGCGGAAUUUCUGGUGUAGCGGUGAAAUGCGUAGAUAUCGGAAGGAACACCAGUGGCGAAGGCGGCUUGCUGGACAUUAACUGACGCUGAGGCACGAAAGCGUGGGGAGCAAACAGGAUUAGAUACCCGUGUAGUC